CCCUUAGAUGUCCGGGGCCGCACGCGCGCUACACUGAAGGAAUCAGCGUGGCUUUCUCCCUGACCCGAAAGGGUUGGGAAACCCGUUGAAUCUCCUUCGUGAUAGGGAUUGGGGCUUGAAAUUGUUCCCCAUGAACGAGGAAUUCCCAGUAAGCGCGAGUCAUAAGCUCGCGUUGAUUACGUCCCUGCCCUAUGUACACACCGCCCGUCGCUACUACCGAUUGAACGGUUUAGUGAGGGCCUCGGAUUGGUCUCGGCCCGCUCUUUACCGGGCGGCGCCGUUGGUCGAGAAGACGCUCGAACUUGAUCGUUUAGAGGAAGUAAAAGUCGUAACA
Molecule: ribosomal RNA, 334 nt
Filed under: uncultured eukaryote
Lineage: Eukaryota
Description: partial 18S ribosomal RNA
Rfam family: Eukaryotic small subunit ribosomal RNA
Source: RNAcentral